GCAUAAAUGCUGCAUCCCUGUAGCGCUCUUCUUCCAAGGCUUUAUUUACAUGGGACAUCACUCUUCCAACAAUGUCCUUAGUAGCUGCAGCAGCAAUGGCCACCUUGAGUCUAGCAGCAUCUUCAUAAUCUUCUCUACUAAUAGCAUGAGCCAACUGUGCCUUUAAAACAGAAACCAACCGUUCUUCCUCCUCAACCUCACUAAAAUGCUUUUUCCAUCGUUCCCAAUCCCAUUCUUGAUCAUCAACACCAAUUUCACUCUUCCUCUCAUCAAGUCCCACUCCUUUUGACCAAUUCACAUAAUCAUCCAACUUUUUCAUCGCAUUCUUGACCGCAUCUUGAAACGCCAAAUCCCAUCUCCAAGAAGAAGAAGAAGAUGAGCUAUUCUGAGAAGAAACAGAUGGCGAUGGCUCAACAGUCUCACCAUCACCGGUACCAUUCCUGCAACGACAACAGAAAGCGGAACCGGAAACCCUAGAUAGUAAAUGAGAGGUUGAAAGAGUGAAAGACGAAGAUGAACGCUUUAAUCGGGAAGUGAAUUUAGGGUUUGAGAAGUUGAAUUUGUGAGUGUUUACAUCAAAUGUCGGCGGGGGAGUAAUCGACGCCAUGAAAAAGAGAAUAACAGCGUUGUCUCUUGAUUUAAUAAUAUCCAAAGAAAUAGUACUCAGUGAAUUUGCG
RNAcentral lists this unclassified non-coding RNA (677 nucleotides) under Hevea brasiliensis (rubber tree). The record is from RNAcentral. Lineage: Eukaryota; Viridiplantae; Streptophyta; Magnoliopsida; Malpighiales; Euphorbiaceae.